CUACGUGCCAGCAGCCGCGGUAAUACGGAGGGUGCGAGCGUUAAUCGGAAUAACUGGGCGUAAAGGGCACGCAGGCGGACUUUUAAGUGAGGUGUGAAAUCCCCGGGCUUAACCUGGGAAUUGCAUUUCAGACUGGGAGUCUAGAGUACUUUAGGGAGGGGUAGAAUUCCACGUGUAGCGGUGAAAUGCGUAGAGAUGUGGAGGAAUACCGAAGGCGAAGGCAGCCCCUUGGGAAUGUACUGACGCUCAUGUGCGAAAGCGUGGGGAGCAAACAGGAUUAGAUACCCUGGUAGUCCACGCUGUAAACGCUGUCGAUUUGGGGAUUGGGCUUAAAGCUUGGUGCCCGUAGCUAACGUGAUAAAUCGACCGCCUGGGGAGUACGGCCGCAAGGUUAAAACUCAAAUGAAUUGACGGGGGCCCGCACAAGCGGUGGAGCAUGUGGUUUAAUUCGAUGCAACGCGAAGAACCUUACCUACUCUUGACAUCCAUGGAAUUCUGUAGAGAUACGGGAGUGC
RNAcentral lists this ribosomal RNA (515 nucleotides) under uncultured bacterium. RNAcentral describes it as "bacterial SSU rRNA". It matches the Rfam family "Bacterial small subunit ribosomal RNA", at positions 501 to 1017 of the family's 1533-position model. The record is from RNAcentral.